RNAcentral lists this ribosomal RNA (253 nucleotides) under uncultured bacterium. RNAcentral describes it as "partial 16S ribosomal RNA". It matches the Rfam family "Bacterial small subunit ribosomal RNA", at positions 524 to 776 of the family's 1533-position model. The record is from RNAcentral.
UACGGGGGGGGUAAGCGUUGUUCGGAAUUACUGGGCGUAAAGGGCUCGUAGGCGGCCAACUAAGUCAUACGUGAAAUCCCUCAGCUUAACUGGGGAACUGCGUGUGAUACUGGAUGGCUUGGAUUUGGGAGAGGGAUGCGGAAUUCCAGGCGUAGCGGUGAAAUGCGUAGAUAUCUGGAGGAACACCGGUGGCGAAGGCGGCAUCCUGGACCAAUAUUGACGCUGAGGAGCGAAAGCUAGGGGAGCAAACGGG